RNAcentral lists this ribosomal RNA (624 nucleotides) under uncultured bacterium. RNAcentral's name for it is "bacterial SSU rRNA". It matches the Rfam family "Bacterial small subunit ribosomal RNA", at positions 338 to 947 of the family's 1533-position model. The record is from RNAcentral.
CCUACGGGAGGCAGCAGUAGGGAAUCUUCCGCAAUGGACGAAAGUCUGACGGAGCAACGCCGCGUGAACGAUGAAGGCCUUCGGGUCGUAAAGUUCUGUUGUUAGGGAAGAACAAGUGCUAGUUAAAUAAGCUGGCACCUUGACGGUACCUAACCAGAAAGCCACGGCUAACUACGUGCCGGCAGCCGCGGUAAUACGUAGGUGGCAAGCGUUGUCCGGAAUUAUUGGGCGUAAAGCGCGCGCAGGCGGUUUCUUAAGUCUGAUGUGAAAGCCCCCGGCUCAACCGGGGAGGGUCGAUUGGAAGCUGGGAAACUUGAGUGCAGAAGAGGAAAGUGGAAUUCCAAGUGUAGCGGUGAAAUGCGUAGAGAUUUGGAGGAACACCAGUGGCGAAGGCGACUUUCUGGUCUGUAACUGACGCUGAGGCGCGAAAGCGUGGGGAGCAAACAGGAUUAGAUACCCUGGUAGUCCACGCUGUAAACGAUGAGUGCUAAGUGUUAGAGGGUUUCCGCCCUUUAGUGCUGAAGUUAACGCAUUAAGCACUCCGCCGUGGGGAGUACGGUCGCGAAGACUGAAACGUUAAAGGAAUUGACGGNUGAGAGUGCGAGGCGACGACGAGGGAGGAGG